GACGAACGCUGGCGGCGUGCUUAACACAUGCAAGUCGAACGGAAAGGCCCUGCUUUUGUGGGGUGCUCGAGUGGCGAACGGGUGAGUAACACGUGAGUAACCUGCCCUUGACUUUGGGAUAACUUCAGGAAACUGGGGCUAAUACCGGAUAGGAGCUCCUGCUGCAUGGUGGGGGUUGGAAAGUUUCGGCGGUUGGGGAUGGACUCGCGGCUUAUCAGCUUGUUGGUGGGGUAGUGGCUUACCAAGGCUUUGACGGGUAGCCGGCCUGAGAGGGUGACCGGCCACAUUGGGACUGAGAUACGGACCAGACUCAUACGGGAGGCAGCAGUGGGGAAUAUUGCACAAUGGGAGGAAGCCUGAUGCAGCAACGCCGCGUGCGGGAUGACGGCCUUCGGGUUGUAAACCGCUUUCGCCUGUGACGAAGAGUGAGUGACGGUAAUGGGUAAAGAAGCAACGGCUAACUACGUG
Molecule: ribosomal RNA, 468 nt
Filed under: uncultured bacterium
Lineage: Bacteria
Description: partial 16S ribosomal RNA
Rfam family: Bacterial small subunit ribosomal RNA
Source: RNAcentral